ACGGGUGAGGAAUACAUCGGAAUCUACCUUUUCGUGGGGGAUAACGUAGGGAAACUUACGCUAAUACCGCAUACGACCUUCGGGUGAAAGCAGGGGACCUUCGGGCCUUGCGCGGAUAGAUGAGCCGAUGUCGGAUUAGCUAGUUGGCGGGGUAAAGGCCCACCAAGGCGACGAUCCGUAGCUGGUCUGAGAGGAUGAUCAGCCACACUGGAACUGAGACACGGUCCAGACUCCUACGGGAGGCAGCAGUGGGGAAUAUUGGACAAUGGGCGCAAGCCUGAUCCAGCCAUACCGCGUGGGUGAAGAAGGCCUUCGGGUUGUAAAGCCCUUUUGUUGGGAAAGAAAAGCAAUCGAUUAAUACCCGGUUGUUCUGACGGUACCCAAAGAAUAAGCACCGGCUAACUUCGUGCCAGCAGCCGCGGUAAUACGAAGGGUGCAAGCGUUACUCGGAAUUACUGGGCGUAAAGCGUGCGUAGGUGGUUGUUUAAGUCUGUUGUGAAAGCCCUGGGCUCAACCUGGGAAUUGCAGUGGAUACUGGGCAACUAGAGUGUGGUAGAGGGUAGUGGAAUUCCCGGUGUAGC
This 581-nucleotide ribosomal RNA is filed under the name Lysobacteraceae bacterium HRTP088. RNAcentral describes it as "bacterial SSU rRNA". It matches the Rfam family "Bacterial small subunit ribosomal RNA", at positions 102 to 679 of the family's 1533-position model. The record is from RNAcentral. RNAcentral also lists the same sequence under 1 other name. Lineage: Bacteria; Pseudomonadati; Pseudomonadota; Gammaproteobacteria; Lysobacterales; Lysobacteraceae.